This 72-nucleotide transfer RNA is filed under the name Mustela putorius furo (domestic ferret). It matches the Rfam family "tRNA". Rfam says of the family: Transfer RNA (tRNA) molecules are approximately 80 nucleotides in length. Their secondary structure includes four short double-helical elements and three loops (D, anti-codon, and T loops). Lineage: Eukaryota; Metazoa; Chordata; Mammalia; Carnivora; Mustelidae. The record is from Rfam by way of RNAcentral.
GCCCGGCUGGCUCAGUUGGUCAGCAUGUGACUCUCGAUCUUAGGGUCGUGUGUUCGAACCCCAUGUUGGGUG